This 13987-nucleotide long non-coding RNA is filed under the name Volvox carteri. RNAcentral describes it as "long non-coding RNA (VCAR_LNC002333)". Lineage: Eukaryota; Viridiplantae; Chlorophyta; Chlorophyceae; Chlamydomonadales; Volvocaceae. The record is from RNAcentral.
CCGGCGGGAGCCUGCAUGCCCGCGUCAAACGCACCAGCGAGUUAUGAGAACGGGCUAACAAGGUUGGGAGUUGGUUAAGAGAAAGCGAUGUGUAUUAUGUAUCGGCCCGCCACAACCACGAUCCAUAUUUGCCCGCACAGCGCUCACGUGCACUCACCACCCUUGACCGCCUUGAGGAUACAUGGCCCGGCGCUGUUUUGUUCAUUGUUCCAUCGCCGCCGCUGCCACCGCUCCCAAGACCGCCCCCAUCAGAAAUGGCAUGGCGGAGCUGACAUCCUUCGAAACGAGUAUGUUAGAUGCGCAUAGAAAAUGAUUCGAUGGUGAAGCAGAUGAAACCCGAAUAUCGGUGCGGAUCAGCUUCGGGAACCGGAGGAUGCAUUGCAUCUCUGGAAGCCACACGAAAGUGUUUCCUGCGGACCAUUUGCAACAAGUACCGGUCCCAGAAACUUUCUGGGACUUUAAGUGCAAUGCGCGGAAGCUGGGUAAAACAAUCUAGGUAAUAGAGUGUUUCCAAUUAGCGACCCGUUAUUUCUACUAGAGUUAACUUAGAGGAGACGUUAGCGGUCGUGGUGUUUCGGAAUGGUCUCCGAAACCAAGACAUGGUGCCAAAGCAAAAUCUCAUGGUGCGAUGCGAUGACAGGAUUCGAUAUGAUGGUCAAGCAUAAUGCAUGAUAUGAUUGUCGCUGGCGAGCUGAGCGUCACGCCAGCCAUGUAGGCAGCAAUCCCCGGAAGCGCGACGGCAGACGGACGUGCAAUCCGAACGGUGUAGGCGGCUUGGACAACAUUGAUAUUCUUUGGCCGGUAUAGGCAGGCGUCGGAGGUGAAGGUCGCAAGAUUGUCAACGUCUAGCCGCCAUUUGCAAGCAGUUACAGUAAGGAAUAAAAGAAUAAUGCAAGCCCUGUGGAUGCAUUUACCUACCUGCGUAUUGCACCCUCGUAUUUUUUGAUACGCAGCUGCAUCGGCUGCUGUCCCGCCACUGGGUGCCGGCUUUGGUGAGUUCGACCUCAUUUAUGCAUUACUUCUUGGAGCUGAAUGCUUGUGUCCUUAUUUCCUUAGAAUAUGUAGUGAAGCACUAUCAGACUUCGCAGUGUUGUGCCUCUGGGCUGAUUCCUUUAUAAUACAAGUUACAAGUUACAAGUUCCGCACACAAGUGCGGGUGCAUCCGUAAAAGCCGGGGGGGCCAUGGACGUUGUAUUGGUAUUGAUGCGGGUACGCGGGAGGUCAUCUUCAUUCUCCCUCGUCCGCUUCAGGGCGAAGCGCCUCAGCGCGACGUGCCUGGCCUCCCAAAUUUCCGAGAGGUACCUGGCCAAUGCCAGGGGUGGCGCCUCAGUCAUAGUGGUGCGCGUGCUGCGCCCCGUAAGGACUAGGUCACCAUCGGGACAUUCUUCGAAAACAUGCAACUCAUCUUCAACCGUUCCACAGUCACAAAGCCUGCAGGUAUGCACGGUGCGCUCACGCCCAUUAGGCCUAUUAACCUCUAACUCCCAACAGCCUAACCGAAAACGCAUGAGCACAUGAUGAAGUCGCUGGGGCAUGGUCCCUUUAGUGUGCUCCAACCAAUUGAGACGUGCACCCCUUGACAGGGCAGCUCCCAUCCAGUUCAUAUAGCGACACGCCUUGGCUCUGGUAACUCCUAUGGGGAAGGCGCGGGGGUCACCCAAGGUAUUUGGGCACUCCCACCGUGCAUCAAGCCGCUUGGCAAAUACCUUAAGAAUGCUCUCAACUGGCAAUUUAAGGGUGGUGUAGUACGAUAUAAGAUCAUUACCGUGCGUAUUAGUGGGGGGUUCCACUCCUAAGCUAGUAAGAAAGGCUAGUACCUUGCUUGCCCAACACUCAGUGACGCCCCCAAGUGCCAACUCCAGGUCAGCAACAAAUGCCUGGUGACACAGCGUUCCCGGCCUCUUAACCACAGAGUUCCAAAACCUAAGUACAAGAUUGGCCCAAUGGAACUGGAGUGGCCUCUGUGACAGCUCGCGAUAUAGGGAUAACUUAAGGAAAACCCUGGAAAUUAGUUCCGACACAUACAGGUGCUGCCUCUCUUUGGGUGAUGCUAUAUGUCUGCAUAAUAAUUACUCUGGAUUUGGAUAGGAGAGGGUGGUAAUGUGUUACUGUAACGACGCAAAUGCCAAUCUGAGCAUCCCGGGUUACGCCUUUGCUGUGUUACAAUGGUAUCGAGACGGGACCGCACGAAUACCGAAAUAAACUUCGGGUCGGCGGUUCGAUUCUGGCAACCAGCAAGUCGCAAAUUGGCGAUUUCAUGGUGUAAUGGAUAAACCAGCGCACUGGCGCGAGGUGGGAUGGCUCCUGUGCUCGAAAUAAUGGCCGAGGACGUCCAUUGCUAAGUGGGGGGCAAUGUAACGACGCAAAUGCCAAUCUGAGCAUCCCGGGUUACGCCUUUGCUGUGUUACAGUUACCAGGGGGAUAAACCCAGGCAGCUGUACCUGCAUGAAAUUGAAGAAAUUAGCAAGUUCUACAUGGUCGUCGGUCUAAAACACAGUGGUAAUAUGAAGUUCGAUUCUGAAGUCAGCAUAGUAUGGCAGCUUGUAUGUUAGUGCCUGAGAAGUCUGGGAAGCUUUCAUACUUGUCUAGGCUGUUUAGAGCCUCAUACCCAGGAUGUAUGUUAUUACAGGGUGGUAUAGCUUCACCAGCGGCCCCCUUUCCUGAGGCAGUUCCCUGCUCUCCCCUGCUUGAGGGGCACCCUGAUCCGUUCACCCCAUCUGACUUCAGAAGGUAUUCAGAAGGUAUUUGAUCAAUGGUGCCUCAACUUAGUUUCUGGUCAGCUCGCAAGCUGAUGCUAUCAUGUCCUACACCAUCCAUAAGAUGGGAGGCCACCUCCCAAUUCAACACCUCUCACACACUAGAGAGGUUGGCAGGCAGAUUUGAACCUGGACACUCCGGGAGCAGAAGUCAGGCCUUAACCUCUGCCAGCUGCCUGCCUGUAAGAAGAUGGGUGGCACAUGUUUCUGGCCCUGUUGGAUGUCUGGAACCCCCUCCAUUGACUGCACCUUUAGCUGUAUACCACAACUACAUCAUACAUAUGACCAUCUAGAUGGUCAUACUCUUCCACACCAGCAGCCACAUCCAAGCUGCUGCUUGACAACUUGAGAGAUAGAGAUGCAUGCCUGAACCGAAAACCCACUGAGACCUCCUUGUUCUGCAUGCUGAGGCAUGAUACCAGAUCCUGUGUGGUGUAGUAUAGCAAAAGUCUUGUUCAAAUGCCAACAAUACGUGAAGCACUCACUGCAGUCCACAGAGAGACCGAGGCCACAGUUGCUCCUAUACUUCAAGCUCUUCAAUGUAGAAGCUGAGGUGGGGGACACUGUUUGUCUUCUUUACAUGAAUGAUCUGCCAGCACACCUUGAUCUCCGGCAGCUUACCCAAAGUAGGCAUCACCAAAUGCUGCUGUGCCCACAUUGAGUUGGGUUGGCUGUGAGGCUGGUUGUCUUUUGGUAAUCUGAAGUCCUUACAUUGGUAUAUACCAAGGCAUAUGCCUGGGCAGGCAAGAAGUCUACCAGCUGAGUUAAAGCAAAGCCCUCCAUCUCAAAUGGGGACUGACAAAAUGUCUAAAUAACAAUAAAACUCACAAUCUUAUGGGAUCUCGAAUAACCGUGUUGACUCAAAGGGGGGAGGAAUGUGAUAAGGGUUCAGCUCCCUUGGUAUCUCCCUGAGUACUCUUUGCCUGGUGUUACAAUGUUUGAGUGUAAAUGUCUGGGGAACAUCAUCCAUCACAGCAAGACUUCUCUUGCAUGUUAUUGGCAACAGUACAGGCUAUGGGACAGAAACCCUCUCUUCUGCAGAAAACGUCUCUGACACCCCAAUUGACAGUGUCUGCAGGCAAGCAGUCACAGCCCGAUUUAGGAUUACCAAGAGACAACCAGCCUCACAGCCAACCCAACUUGAUGUGGGCACAGCAGCAUUUGGUGAUGACUGCCUUCAGGGUGGUAAGCUGUGAGAGAUUAAGUUGUGAUUGCAGGUCAUUCACAUCAAAAAGAUAAAAAGCGUCUCCUGCCUCAGCUUCUACAUUGAAGAGCUUGAAGUAUGGGAGCAACCGUGGCCUCGGUCUCUCUGCAGACUGCUGUGAGCGCUUCAUGUAUUUUUGGCAUUUGAACAAGACUUUUGCUAUACUACACCACACAGGAUCUGAUAACAUGCCUCAGCAUGCUAACUGAAGGCUUCAGAGCAGAAUAUGAGCCUUGAAGGAGGUCUCAGUGAGUUUUUGGUCUAGGCAUGCAUCUUUAUCUGUCAAGUUGUCAAGCAGCAGCUUGGAUGUGGUCUGAAGGAGGAGGGUAUGAUGUAGCUGUGGUAUACAGCAAAGGUGCCGUCAAUGGAGGGGGUUCCAGACAUCCUGGGUAUGAGGCUCUAAACAGCUGAGUGCCUUUCAGGAACGUCUGAAUCUGCUGUCUAGGAAAUAAAGAAAGCUUCCCAGGCUUCUCAGGCAUGAACAUACAAGCUGCCAUACUAGAUGCUGACUUCCGCAAAAUCAAACUUCAAAUUACCACUGUGUUUUAGAUCCUAUAUUUAAUUAUUGACCAGCAACCUCAUGCAGGUACAGCUGCCUGGGUUUAUCCCCCUGGUAACACAUUACCGCCCUCUCCUAUCCAAAUCCAGAGUAAUUAUUAUGCAGACAUAUAGCAUCACCCAAAGAGAGGCAGCACCUGUAUGUGUAGGAACUAAUUCCCAGGGUUUUCCCUAGGUUAUCAUUAUGAAGGAAUCUGCCCCCCACAAAUGUCAUGCAACCAAAAGCACAAACAUGAGGCAGGAUACAUAGCUAGGUAGGCGCUCCAAGUCUUCCUUGAGUGCAGGUAGAUAGGCAGGCCAGAGGAACAACACUGUAGCAGCUGGCCGCUGAAAAGGCCUCUCAAGAUGCUGGUGGUCGCGUUAUGCGCGUAUUUAUAGCACCGUACUGUGUACUGGCUGCUACAUCCCCCCCUUUUGAAGGGGUCCAUCCUGGGCUUCAUAUACCACCAGCCUGUGCCUACCUUCACCUAUCCUCGGGCAGUGGGGUGUUCAAGCCCACGUCACAUCAUGCUCCCCUUCAUGCGCCUAGCCUUCAGGUUUUUCAGGCACAGAGACAGUCCAGUCGGUUCAGCUACUUUUUAAUGGUUUUUGGUGCGAUAUUCGCUCACUGAGUCACCAAACCCGUUUUUCCACUCAAGCAUGAUUGGUGGGGGGUGAACCGACGACUUCAGGAUCGUGAAAUUUCACGAGGUCUCGAUACCAAAUGUAGCAGCUGGCCGCUGAAAAGGCCUCUCGAGAUGCUGGUAGUCGCGCUACGCGUGAAUUUAUAGCGCCAUACUGUGUACCGGCUGCUACAAACACUGUGAAGUCUGUUAGUGCUUCACUACCUUUUAUAAGUAAAUGAGGACACAAAGCAUUCAGCUCCAAGAAGUAAUGUAUCAAUGAGGUUGAACUCACCAAAGCUGGCAACUAGUGGCGGGACCAGGGUUCGACACUGACUUUCCUGAAACUUGCGGGAUCCCCCGUACCUCCCAAAUUUUCCUUACGGAGGGGCCCCCGUACCAGGCUCCUGUACUGGCCGAAAACCUUACGGGGGCCCCCGUAACCCCGCAAAACCUUUACGGGGACACUGUCCUUGGCUAAAACGCUGUGGAAAGUGACACUUUGCAUUUUUUUUGCCCUGUAAAUCGUUAUUUAUGUUAUUUUCCCGUGAACCAUUACACACGGGGGCACGGCACACUCAGCGAAAGCCAAGCGCCUUGGCCGCCGCGGCCGCCCAUCCCUUCUGCUACUCUUUCGCGUCCUCCUCCUCAUCAACAAAAUCCUCAUCCACGGACGACUCAUCGGUAUCUCGUUCUACGUCGGUCUCGUAGUCACUGUCACUAAAAGCCUCAUCGUCACUAGCGGGGUAUGUUGCUUGUACCAGUACUUCAAUCUCUGGGUCCGUCGCAACCUCCUCGUUAUCAUCCUCUCCGUAUGGAUUCAAAUUAAUUAUGCUAACGUCAGAAAACAACUUGUGAAUAAUGCCUGUAUAACCCUUACGCGAGUAGAUCCCAGCAGCCUGAUCAAUCAGUGGCUUCGCCCCGGUAUCAGCAGCAGGUCCCAACAUGCCCACACGAAGUAGCGAAUCAACCGUUUCCAGCUUUAGCCGGUUCGUCAGGCGAUUCUUAAUAAUACGAUGCCGGCUAAAUCCGCGCUCAACACAUGCCGUCUGUGUUGGCAGGAUUGUAGCGACUUGAGCCAAACGCAUCAUACGCGGAAGGAGAUGGGCUUCGGGACGCAAACUCACCCACGCUGCCUCCCAAGUCACCCUGCUAAGCGAAAUGUAGUAAGCAAGACGUGCCUUCAUGACAUUGAACUCCUUUAAAACGUUCGGCAACUCAUCAGGCUUAACCUCGAACAGGCGGUGUGAAUUCUUAGCAGAGCAGAAGUGCUGCUCAGCCUCCUGAGUGCAAGGCUCCGUAGAGCCAAGCUCCUCAGGAUCAUCAUUGGGGUUGCCUAUAACACAAAUCUUUCGGUCAACUUUCAGGCCUGCGGUUCUUGUCAAUCAGCUUCGAGUCCCUACCCUACCUUCUUUGCAAGGCUUAUCAUCUACUUUCUUUGUGGGAACAGGUUGGCUUGCAGGCUUUCCACCUGCGUUCGGACCGAAAAUGAGAUCGGCGAGGAGUGGCUAUAGACUGGAAGCUAUAAAAGUAUUAUGAAAAGUGUAGUUAAAUAUUGCAAUAUGAAUUAUGCCUGCCAAGUGUGUGGCUUUAUCCUUUAUAUGGUCCGUCCUCUCCCCUACAGGGCCCCGUAAGGCAUCUUAUAAAUCCUUAAAUUCCUUACGGGAGUCACCGUAACCGGCCUUCGGCCUGUUCGGGGGCGGCCCCGUACGGGGCGCUUCGCGCCCCAAAAUCUUUACGGGAGCCACCGCAAAGUCCUACGGACCCGUACGGGGAUACCGAAAAAAGGCCAAAAACUUACGGGCCCCGUACGGGGUGUCGAACACUGGGCGGGACAGCAGUCGAUGCAGCUGCAUGUCAAAAAAACGAGGGUGCAAUACACAGGUAGGUCAUUUGUCACGAAAUAGCAGGGGUGUGCGAUUUGUAAAGGAUCACAAAGCUUACUAAUGGUUCAGAAGACUACAACCAUGCAUGGUAUGCAGUGUAGCAAAGAAGUGUGUGGCAUUCUUGUCUAAAACCACUGCACAAGAAGCCAUGGACUUGGCUGUAUAGCAUGCACAAAGUCAGAAGGGCAUGCAGCUACCAGACUCGUUACAAACACAACAAUGCUCAUUGGAACAUAUGAACGGCCAAAAACUAAUGCAGGUCGGUAUAUCAGGAAGUGCAUGUGCAUCCUGGAAUCCCGACAUGUGGCGGGUGCAGGUAGAGGCAGGGCAGCUUGCAUGUCAUAGAAAUCUUCAUGCAGCAUUCUUAACACCCAAGCUAGCUUCACGUGCAGCUUUGCAAAGGCAACCUGCAAAACCUAAAUUUGGAACUCGCCACCAGUGCCUUGGCUUGCUAGCAAGGAAGGGUGUGUGUCCUGUCUACUCUCAACCACAAUGCCUAAGCACUGCAGCAGAAUGGAGGCACAAUGCUUGCAGGGCUUGACGAGACACCGUUUAGGAAGGGUCUCAAUUUAUCCUAACCUAAGUAACAAAGCUGCUAGGGUUGUCGUAAUUUAUUCCUUAAUUGUGAGGCGUUGGGGGGGCCUCCAGGCCCCUGUAGCAGCUGACCGCUGAAAAGGUCUCUCGAGUUGCUGGCAGUCGCACUCUGUGCGUAUUUAUAGCACAGUACUGUGUACCGGCUGCUACAGCCCCCCAGACCCACCCACCACCCCGAUAAGUUACAACUCCCCUAGACCAAGAGUCACACACUGAGUUGGCAUGGUUUGGAUGCAGCACACUUGGUCAUGCACUUCUCCGGCGUCCAUGUCAGCAUGCACAGGCCGAGCCCAGAUAUACUUGGUGGCCCAGGCUAUCUGCCAUCUGUGGGGGUUCUCUUUCUGCUUGGUCCUCCAUACACCAUCACUGAUGUUGCAGAUGUGCUGUGACUGCACAGUGAGUGCUCGGGUUGGGCACCUGGAAUGGAUCACCGGCCUCACCACAUUCACUGUUGUUGUUGUAGAGCUGGUUAGGUGACAGCUUGCACUUAUGCUGGUCACACCCGCCAUGGAGGGCAGGGGUAAUGGUGCCCAUGUCAUCGGUCGCUGCUGGCAGCAACACCAUUGCCAAUGCAUUACCGACAAGAGCACCACCAUUCUGAACACCUUUAUCAGGAAACUUUCCGGCUUAUCUUGCUGUUUUGAUGUCUGUUCACUGUUUGAGUCAUUGACUUGUGCAUAUUUGGCUAUGGUGGGAAUGAAAUUGUAUGGUCGGCCUCAAUUUAUUCCUUGUUCCAAAAGCCAAAAUGCCGAUGUCUUCCUUUUAAGUAAUUGCUUGAUAAAAAAACCUGUGAGACACUCCUAAUACCCUGUGCAGCCUGGGGCCGCCAGUCCCAUGCACAAAUUGUACAAGUGCACGCCUCCAGUGGCGGUUCACAAGGUCUGAACAGGAUAUGAGCCUAAGAUUGCUUAAAGUACUGGAUUGCAUACAACGGACCUUGAUGGCAGCCUUUAGCACCAGCUGCUGCCGAACAGUGAGGCCUGCUGCUUGUUCUGUGUUCAGCAGGCAGAAAGCACCACCAACCUCGGCAUCCACAUCCAAGCCUAACUCGGAUAGGGCAGCAACAAUUGGCGAAAUGGAACUGGUGUCCUCACCCCCCACAGAAAGCAGGGCUUGCCGAAUGGUCACCAUGCUUAGGUAGACCCGGACCCUGUGUGCUGCUAAAAUAUGCUUCAAUUGUGUUGGAGGCCACAAGGUCACAACCAAAACCCUUAAACCCAACGGUCAUCAUACCAAUGGUACACCUAAGAGCUACUCAUAAUCUUUCCAAUACCACCACUAUCAUGGGAUAACUACUUUUCCUAACCAGCUGAGUCACAAUCAAGCUUUGUUACAAUUUUGGCAUUGUAGACCAACCAGUCAAAAGGACCUCGGAGUCGAGUACUCCAUUGCUUCCGCACCACAUUUCAUAUUUCCAAAGAUUUUCAACCUGAAUUACAUGGCAAGCCUGGCACAGAACCCGAUGCACGCUCUGUCCAUGGAGACAGACCAUGAGUGCUUCCAGCUGCACCAGAUGAGCCCCACUAAGGUGAAGAGACUGCUAAAGAAGGUCCAGGAAAGAUAAGAUAAGUAUGUGAGGUGCACCCAGCAUAAGGGCAUCACACCACCAUCGCACCUGUUUAAAACCAUCAGACAGCUCUGCAAUGAGCAGGAUUAUUGCUCUGCACACUUGGCCUCCUAAUGAAAGCCAAUGAGGAACUCUCUAUGUGUGAGCAGAAAAGCCGCAAACUGCAGGAGCAGAUGGCUGCAGCUGCGGUUGGCAAUUGUUGUUAUUGUUGUUGUUGUUGCAAUAACAGCAAUGGGGGCGGUGGUGGCAUUUCUGCCUGCAUCGAUGGUGUUGGCAUCAUCCACAGCAGCAGCUAGGUGCUCCUGCAGUACGCAGCUUUUCCGCAUAGAGAGUUCCUCAUUGGCUUCCAUUAGGAGGCUGAGUGUGCAGAGUGAUAAUCCUGCUCAUCACAGAGCUGUCUGAUGGUUUCAAACAGAUGCAACGGUGGUGUGAUGCCCUUAUGCUGGGUGCACCUCAUCUACUUAUCAUAUCUUUCCUGGACGACCUUUAACAGUCUCUUUGCCCUAGUGGGGCUCACCUGUUGCAGCUGGUAGCGCUCAUGGCCCAUCUCCGUGGACUGAGCAUGCAUCGGGUUCUGUGCCGGACUCACCAUGUAAUUCAGGUAGAAAAUCUUUGGAAUUAUGAAAUGUGGUGCAGAAGCAAUAGAGUACUCGACUCCGAGGUCCUUUUGACCAGUUGGUCUACAAUGCCAAAAUUGUAACAAAGCUUGAUCAUUACACAGCUGGUUACAAAAAGUAGUUAUCCAACGAUAGUGGUGGUAUUGAUAAAUACCGUUUGGUAUUGGAAAUUAUGAAUAGCUCUUAGGUGUACCAUUGGUAUGAUGACCGUUGGGUUUAAGGGUUUUGGUUGCGAUCUUGUGGCCUCCAACACAAUUUAAGCAAAUUUAGCAGCACACAGGGUCCGGGUCUACCUAGGCAUGGUGACCAUUCGGCAAGCCCUGCUUUCUGUGGGGGGCGAGGACACCAGUUCCAUUUCGCCAAUUGUUGCUGCCCUAUCAGAGUUAGGCUUUCAUGUGGAUGCCGAGGUCGGUGACGCUUUCUGCCUGCUGUACAUGGAACAAACACUGUUCAGCAGCAGUUGGCGCUAAAGGCUGCCAUCCAAGGUUAGUUGUAUGCAAUCGGGUACUUAAGCAAUGUUAGGCUUGUAUCCUGUUCAGACGUUGUGAACCGCCACUGCAGGUGCGCACUUGUAUGAUUGACUGGCGGGCCCGGGCCGCAUAGGGUGUUAGGAGUGUCUCGUCAAGCCCUGCGAGCAUUGUGCCUCCAUUGUGCUGCGGUGCUUAGGCAUUGUGGUUGAGAGUAGACAGGAUGCACACCCUUUAUCGCUAGCAUACCGAGGUGCUGGUGGCGAGUUCCAAACUUGGGUUUUGCAGGUUGCCUUCGCGAAUUUGUGCGUGAAGCUAGCUUGGGUGUUAAGAAUGCUGCAUGAAGAUUGCUACUACAUGCAAGCCGCCCUGCCUCUACCUGCACCAACCACAUGUCAGAUUCCAGGAUGCACGUGCGCUUCCUGAUAUACUGACCUGCAUUAGUUUUUGGCCGUUAAUGUGGUGACAUUGUGCAAAUGUUAGCUGGCCAGAUAGAUACAAGGGCUGUGGCAAGCGUGCAUACCGAUUUAACCUUUUAUGUGUAAGCGUGCUAGAGAUGGAAAGGCUCUCACCUUUCAGUCCUGCCCUCCUAGGGUGCAUCCGGGGGGUGGGGCAGUAAGCUGAUUCGUACUGCAAAAAAAUCCAUUUUGUUUUCACUUGCAAAAUCGUCCGAGAAUUCAUUGCCUUUUGCUGAUAUUUCUCAAUGCAUGGGCGAUGUCGAGACACAUACACACAUGUGCAUGUGUGCAUAUUCAGUUCUCGCACCCCCACACAUUCAGCUAGCACCCGUACGAACACAGACAGCCCUAAGACCACUAUACCCACGAAGAUGAGGAGCUCAACAUCAACAGCUCAACAUCAACAGGCACGGACCACAGACAGAAGACACGUGUGCACGCAAGCUCCACAUCAUCCGCAUCAGCAUGUGACACAGACAGACAGACAGUUACACUCACACGUGCACAAAAGAGCACUUUUCACCUCCACGCCGGGACGAGAUGCGGGCCAAGCAGUACAAGUGACAUCACCCACAUCAUCACCAGCUGCAGCACACGGGUAAAACGCAGAGGCGGAAGGCCCACACUGUGUGCAACAUGCCUCUGCGAUGUAACACCCCCAACCACCUAACGGAUCAUACGUACACCCCCAACUAACCCUAUCAACUGCAACUGCAACGGGGAGGGAGGCGCAUGAAUGAAAGGCCUCCAGUUCCCCCUCUGUUGUCCAGUCCCGUCCUGUGGAGACACCUCACUGCUCACCUCAGCCAGGUAUGUGUUAUAGACCGUCCCCCUCAACGGUGCCGCUUUUGUUCCUGCCCACCCCUCUCCUCUCACCCUGCACCCCCCCUGUCACCCAUCACCGCUCGCCUGUCACCCCUUUCCUCUCACCCGUCCCCCACUCCCGCUGUCACCCCAAGCCCGACUUUCCCCUUUGUUCACUGGUCCCCAAGCUAAGCCGCCAGCUAAGCCUAACACACAGACCUGCAUGUUCUACUGUUGAGGCUAUGGUUAACCGUUUCCAUGGAGGGUCACAGCACCAUGUGUGUGUUACAUAUGCAAUAUCCAUGUGGGGCCUGAGGUUUGACAUGCACAUGAAGCUAGCUUGGGUUGUUAGGAAUGCCAAGACACAUGCUGUGAGUGUGGUGCCUCCAUUUUUGUGCUGCAGCACUCCCAGGCACCUUGGUGUUGUUGUGAAGCACAUAGUGGUUAACUACUCGUUGAAAUGACUGCUGCUGUCAGCAAGCAUUUGUCAGACUCCAUCCCCGUCCCACAUCAAUAUCAUGCGUGGUUUGCGUGGAACUGCUGACCUGCACGGUAUGUGUGUGUGUGUGUGUGUUACAUGGUUGGGGGUUGCGCGACCCCAUACCUGUAAAACUACCCAUACGAGCCGAAGGCCCAAGGGCAAUAUCUAUACCGCACAUCAGCCCAGACUAGCGUCCAAAGGGGGUAACUGAGGGGUAACUGCUCUCUGGGGACAUGGUACUUGCCCCUUCAUGCUCUGUUUGCCUCUAAAGCCCAGCAACAUAAACGAAACUGCAUUAGCUUACGAUGUUCUAAACAAGGAAUGAAAGCCACAUGAUGGCUGCGGCUCCCGAAAAGGGCAGCCCCAUCCAGUGCUUAUACUUCGCCAUUUGCACUCUCGGUUGCUUCCCAUCUGAUGGUAUGUGUCUUCCGCCUCACUUUGUGCAGGUGCUGCUGCUGGUGUGGACCUGCAGCGCUUGGGAGCUGGCGCUGGUGGUAAGUUUUCUUCUAUUUGCUGCUAUCGUAGCUACUGUUGCCACCAGCUCUCGGAGGCACAUUCAUUCCAUGACGGAAAGUCAUUCGGAUUCAGGCAAGGGUCCAGCUGCAGCAUGCUUUCUUACCCAGUAGCAUGUUGUGGCUCGUUCUUCAAUUGUGCAUUGGUCCAGCACGCUUUAUUGGCCAUACAUAAAUAGUUAGGGGACACAUGGCCAGUUUUGCAGGCAUGUGUUGCAUGACUGAUCUCAGUGUGAAUCCUGCUGAAUCCAGGAGCCCUUGUGCCCCCCCUACCCCCCCCCGUUCCAGUCAUCUCUGACAUUUUGACUCCGACCCUCUGACAUGACUGAACCCAGUGCUGGAGCGCAUCAGGCCACGGCGGCUUUCGAAGCCCAGUCAUGCGAUGAGGGCCGGGUUAGGGCUGAGCAGGCGCUGAGGGCUGAGCGGGCGGACGAAAUAUCUCGGGGGUAUUUCUUCGACAAGUUGUCGCGAACCAGGGUUUCGCCCCUGCGACCCUUACUAGCAACGCGUGAGCUGUAACUAACAAUGGCCGGGAGUUCUGGGACAACGACUGGAACAUACAGAGAGCCUUACAGCCUUGCAACCACACGCACUCUCAGCUCUCAGUCCCCGCACAUGCUACUACAUCCUCCCACUUGCCCCACUGAAUCCCAGCCAUCCCAGUCAUGGGCCCGUCUCUGUCAUGAACGUCAACGGCCACCACGCGCGCCCAAUGCACUGUAAUCCAGUCAUGGGCCCUCACCUCCCCCCACACCCCAGUCAUGUCAGUCAUGGCCCUUGUGCUCAGCUGCCUCAGUUACCUCGGUUGGUUUUUGCAACUCACGUGGCCCAGUGAGACACCGUGUGCUGGUGAGUCCUGUUUUCAGACCCUCUCGGGCCCAUAAAGGCUGCCGUGCUUUGACUCACCCAAGGGAGCCUAAAGUGAGUCAACGAGCGGAAAGACACCUGGAGAGAGUCUUACAUGCGUGCCUGCACCCUGAGAGUCAAUCAGAGCAACUCUUGAGCAACUCAAAGAGAGAGAUUGAGAACCGCUAUGAGAGCGCCCCCAGCAAACCCCAGCAAACCCCGGAAGCUAGCUGCUGGCCAGGCCCACAGAACCUGAGUGUCCUGAGGGCAUCGGGCGACAUGUUCCUUAUGCCGCCCCCUGCCGCCCGUUCCACCGAUGGAUUCUGCCAGAGUCAACUGAACCAAGUGAGGCAACUGAGGCAUCUGAGGCAACUCACCACGUACACAUACGCGCCGUGCUUGGGGGUCUGUAAGUGCCAGCGGUUGUCACUUUUUAUUGGGGGAAUCCGGAACAGUGUUUAUUUUUUUGGUAAUAUAUUACUUUUUUGGGAAUAAAUGGGGGUCUGAGCCUGGAAGAAAUGGAAUAAUUGGUCAGUUGGCCGUACUGGUUCAUUACUUCGGCCAUAAGUCGCCCCAAAUGCCUUCUGCACAGAUAAAGCUGAACAUCUGGAACUUAUACACUAUUUAUAUAUAAA